RNAcentral lists this unclassified non-coding RNA (240 nucleotides) under soil metagenome. RNAcentral describes it as "partial contains 5.8S ribosomal RNA, internal transcribed spacer 2, and large subunit ribosomal RNA". The record is from RNAcentral.
AACUGAUACUACCUGCGGGAACCUGCGGAAGGAUCAUUACUGAGGAGGGUCCAUGGCCCGAUCUCCAACCCUUUGAUAAAAACACCAUGUUGCUUUGGCAGGCCCGCCCGUUGGGGCCGCGGGGGAUCGCCGGUCCCUAGCCCGUGCCUGCCGGUAGCCUUCACAAAACUCUCAAAAUGUUGUCGUCUGAGAUGAUUAGAAUAAUAAAACUUUUAACAACGGAUCUCUAGAUCGGAAGAG